AGUGAACGCUGGCGGUAGGCCUAACACAUGCAAGUCGAACGGCAGCACAGUAAGAGCUUGCUCUUACGGGUGGCGAGUGGCGGACGGGUGAGGAAUACAUCGGAAUCUACUUUUUCGUGGGGGAUAACGUAGGGAAACUUACGCUAAUACCGCAUACGACCUACGGGUGAAAGCAAGGGAUCUUCGGACCUUGCGCGAUUGAAUGAGCCGAUGUCGGAUUAGCUAGUUGGCGGGGUAAAGGCCCACCAAGGCGACGAUCCGUAGCUGGUCUGAGAGGAUGAUCAGCCACACUGGAACUGAGACACGGUCCAGACUCCUACGGGAGGCAGCAGUGGGGAAUAUUGGACAAUGGGCGCAAGCCUGAUCCAGCCAUACCGCGUGGGUGAAGAAGGCCUUCGGGUUGUAAAGCCCUUUUGUUGGGAAAGAAAAGCAGCAGGUUAAUACCCCGCUGUUCUGACGGUACCCAAAGAAUAAGCACCGGCUAACUUCGCG
RNAcentral lists this ribosomal RNA (492 nucleotides) under uncultured bacterium. RNAcentral's name for it is "partial 16S ribosomal RNA". It matches the Rfam family "Bacterial small subunit ribosomal RNA", at positions 29 to 507 of the family's 1533-position model. The record is from RNAcentral.